CGGCUUUCAAAAAAGACACCCGGCUCCUCACUACUCAUGUGAGAGGAAUUUUUGAAUGGGUACAGGUCGCCCUGUGGAGGAUCUGCCUACUUUGCAGAACCUUCAGAAGCUGUGAUCUGCCCG
Small nuclear RNA from Hyla sarda, 123 nucleotides. RefSeq annotates it as U12 minor spliceosomal RNA. NCBI's taxonomy places the organism in Eukaryota, Metazoa, Chordata, Amphibia, Anura, Hylidae. The record is from RefSeq and is a predicted model, not a curated record. The transcript has a single exon.